UUGAUUCUAGAUCACGGUGAACGUCAGCGGCAUAAGCUAAGACAAACAAGUCAGAAGGCAACAGGGUUAAACAAUACAUCAGGCCGAAGGCGCAAAGGGAUGCGUAACGGAUGAGCAAUCUUCCCGUAUCCAGGGGGAUUAGGGAGAGAAACGUCGUUCUAGUACCGCAUAAACACCAUUGAUGGCCUCAUUGUAUGGUUGGAAAGCUUCGGUGGGAUACGGAUGAGCUCCGCGAGACAUUAGUUAGUUGGCGGGGUAACGGGCCCACCAAGACCGCGAUGUCUAGGGGAACUGAGAGGUUGGUCCCCCACACUGGAACUGAGACACGGUCCAGACUCCUACGGGAGGCAGCAGUGAGGAAUAUUGGACAAUGGCCGGAAGGCUGAUCCAGCCAUGCCGCGUGAAGGAAUAAGGUCCUAUGGAUUGUAAACUUCUUUUGUACGAGAGCAAUAAGUGUCACGAGUGACACGAUGAGAGUAUCGUACGAAUAAGCAUCGGCUAACUCCGUGCCAGCAGCCGCGGUAAUACGGAGGAUGCGAGCGUUAUCCGGAUUUAUUGGGUUUAAAGGGUGCGUAGGCGGGAUUUUAAGUCAGCGGUGAAACGCAAGGGCUCAACCCUUGACCUGCCGUUGAAACUGGAGUUCUUGAAUGCGGAUGCUGUGGGAGGAAUGUGUGGUGUAGCGGUGAAAUGCAUAGAUAUCACGAAGAACCCCGAUUGCGAAGGCAGCCGACGAGUCCUUAACUGACGCUAAAGCUCGAAAGUGCGGGUAUCGAACAGGAUUAGAUACCCUGGUAGUCCGCACGGUAAACGAUGGAUGCCCGCUGUCUGCGAUACACUGUAGGCGGCCAAGAGAAAUCGUUAAGCAUCCCACCUGGGGAGUACGCCGGCAACGGUGAAACUCAAAGGAAUUGACGGGGGCCCGCACAAGCGGAGGAACAUGUGGUUUAAUUCGAUGAUACGCGAGGAACCUUACCCGGGCUUGAACUGCAGGCGUACGAUACAGAGAUGUUGAGGCCCUUUCGGGGGCGCCUGGGGGAGGUGCUGCAUGGUUGUCGUCAGCUCGUGCCGUGAGGUGUCGGCUUAAGUGCCAUAACGAGCGCAACCCCUUUCUCCAGUUGCCAUCAGGUAAUGCUGGGCACUCUGGAGACACUGCCACCGUAAGGUGUGAGGAAGGUGGGGAUGACGUCAAAUCAGCACGGCCCUUACGUCCGGGGCUACACACGUGUUACAAUGGGUGGUACAGAGAGUUGGUCGUUUGCAAAUGCGAUCUAAUCAUGAAAGCCAUCCUCAGUUCGGAUUGGGGUCUGCAACCCGACCCCAUGAAGCUGGAUUCGCUAGUAAUCGCGCAUCAGCCAUGGCGCGGUGAAUACGUUCCCGGGCCUUGCACUCACCGCCCGUCAAG
RNAcentral lists this ribosomal RNA (1402 nucleotides) under uncultured bacterium. RNAcentral describes it as "bacterial SSU rRNA". It matches the Rfam family "Bacterial small subunit ribosomal RNA". The record is from RNAcentral.